UUUAAAUCCAAAAUUAUCUCAUUCGAGUUGUUUCUCAUAAAGGGACUUGCUGCAUUGCCCAACCACUGCACCAGGGUUUUGAUUUGCUUCUUCGUUAUCUUUUCUUCAAAGAGAGCUCAUAUAGAAUAAUAUCCGAAUGUUCAUGGACGACGAGGGGAUGAGAUCGCACCGAGCCUAUUGGCGUCGAUAGAGGAUUCAAUGGCAUUGAUCACGUCGUCCAGGCAGUGCUUGGAAGAGAUGGCGAAGAUCGUGGAGUGCCAGCGGCUGAUGCUUCCGGUGUUCUACGAAGUGGAUCCCUCCGAUGUACGGCCCCUUUGAAGCUGACUUCUAGAUGCUCGAGCAACGUUUUGGAACGGAAAAGGUCUUGGUAUGGAGAGCAGCUAUGACGAAACCUGGUGGAAUUGUUGAUUGGGAUUCCAAAAACUGCAUCCUCAGACACCUCAGCAGUCCAAGUUACAUUGGGCACCUUAGGUCACUUAGCUAAGACCGAGGCCCAAGCAGCUUGUCACACACCGACCUAUCGAGAUGCCACGUAGCCUUCUUCUAGAAGCGAGCUAGCUGUCUCCGAUCUCCUCGGGAUCACGUUGCACGCCAACGGAUCUUACCGCUAUCCUGCCCGAAUCGGACGAACUUGGAUAAGCCUUAUUAGCUUGCAUGGAGCCCAUCUUCUGGUGCAGAACUGACUCUGGAGUAUGCAGGCCAGUGAUCUCGGACAAGUUUCGGGAGGUCCACGGCAGCUCGCCUAUAUAAGGGCAUCGUUUUUAGCCUCGCAAGGUACGCGCGAUUUAGCUCUCUCACUAGCAUUCUAAUCUCUCAGCUCUCUUAAAACCUCCAAUGCUAAGUUAAGCAUUGGGGUGCCCGCACCAGGUAAAGCACCCCGGGACCUCUGAUCUACUUGUCUUGUAGUUCGACCUGGCCACGUAGCAGACUGGCGUCUGAGUUGCCUUCUAGCAGGGAGCAACUAGA
Molecule: long non-coding RNA, 966 nt
Organism: Nelumbo nucifera (sacred lotus)
Lineage: Eukaryota; Viridiplantae; Streptophyta; Magnoliopsida; Proteales; Nelumbonaceae
Source: RefSeq, a predicted model, not a curated record